CCUACGGGUGGCUGCAGUGGGGAAUUUUGGACAAUGGGGGCAACCCUGAUCCAGCAAUGCCGCGUGAGUGAAGAAGGCCUUCGGGUUGUAAAGCUCUUUUGUCAGGGAAGAAAAGGCUGUGGCUAAUAUCCAUAGCUGCUGACGGUACCUGAAGAAUAAGCACCGGCUAACUACGUGCCAGCAGCCGCGGUAAUACGUAGGGUGCAAGCGUUAAUCGGAAUUACUGGGCGUAAAGCGUGCGCAGGCGGUUUCGUAAGUCUGUCGUGAAAUCCCCGGGCUUAACCUGGGAAUGGCGAUGGAGACUGCGAGGCUAGAGUUUGGCAGAGGGGGGUAGAAUUCCACGUGUAGCAGUGAAAUGCGUAGAGAUGUGGAGGAACACCGAUGGCGAAGGCAGCCCCCUGGGUCAAAACUGACGCGCAUGCACGAAAGCGUGGGGAGCAAACAGGAUUAGAUACCCCGGUAGUC
RNAcentral lists this ribosomal RNA (465 nucleotides) under uncultured Duganella sp. RNAcentral's name for it is "bacterial SSU rRNA". It matches the Rfam family "Bacterial small subunit ribosomal RNA", at positions 338 to 795 of the family's 1533-position model. Lineage: Bacteria; Pseudomonadati; Pseudomonadota; Betaproteobacteria; Burkholderiales; Oxalobacteraceae. The record is from RNAcentral.